AAAGGUAAGCUACUAAGAGCGAAUGGUGGAUGCCUUGACUGGUAAAGGCGAUGAAGGACGUACUAGACUGCGAUAAGCUACGGGGAGCUGUCAAGAAGCUUUGAUCCGUAGAUUUCCGAAUGGGGCAACCCAAUGUAUAGAGAUAUACAUUACCUAUAUAGGAGCGAACGAGGGGAAUUGAAACAUCUUAGUACCCUCAGGAAAAGAAAUCAAUAGAGAUUGCGUCAGUAGCGGCGAGCGAAAGCGUAAGAGGGCAAACCCAGUGCUUGCACUGGGGGUUGUAGGACUGCAAUGUGCAAGAGGUGAGUUUAGCAGAACAUUCUGGAAAGUAUAGCCAUAGAGGGUGAUAGUCCCGUAUGCGAAAAACAAACCUUAGCUAGCAGUAUCCUGAGUAGGGCGGGACACGAGAAAUCCUGUCUGAAGCUGGGUCGACCACGAUCCAACCCUAAAUACUAAUACCAGAUCGAUAGUGCACAAGUACCGUGAGGGAAAGGUGAAAAGAACUGAGGUGAUCAGAGUGAAAUAGAACCUGAAACCAUUUGCUUACAAUCAUUCAGAGCCCUAUGUAGCAAUACAGGGUGAUGGACUGCCUUUUGCAUAAUGAGCCUGCGAGUUGUGGUG
Molecule: ribosomal RNA, 621 nt
Filed under: Campylobacter coli
Lineage: Bacteria; Pseudomonadati; Campylobacterota; Epsilonproteobacteria; Campylobacterales; Campylobacteraceae
Description: partial 23S ribosomal RNA
Rfam family: Bacterial large subunit ribosomal RNA
Source: RNAcentral